RNAcentral lists this ribosomal RNA (702 nucleotides) under Triticum aestivum (bread wheat). Its description in RNAcentral is "partial small subunit ribosomal RNA". Lineage: Eukaryota; Viridiplantae; Streptophyta; Magnoliopsida; Poales; Poaceae. The record is from RNAcentral.
AUGGCUAUGAUAAGCGGCCUUCCUAUCAACGGACAAGCUGUUACCGGUCGUGUCAGCGUGGGUAAUUGGCGAGAACGGACUGCCGAUUUAAUUGGUGUUCAGCCCGAGGACCCUCAGGAAGGCAAGGCCGAUACCGCGAGAGUGAGGCAUUCUUGGCUAAAACUGGUCAGAGGAAACACCAAUCCGUGCCCUGAGGGUGCCAAUGACGUGGUUAUGCAGCAGUACGCGCGGGCCUAUCUUUGGUAUGUACUAACCAAGGUAGUCUUCUCAGAUGCAACCGGGAACUCAGCCCUCUGGAUGUUCUUGGAGCUACUUAAUAACUGGGAUACCCAGUAUAGCUGGGGUUCGGCCGCACUAGCAUAUUUGUAUCGUCAGCUUGACUUAUCGUGUCGGAGGAAGGGAGGUACAUCCUCAUUGUCUGGGUUUGUUUGGAGCCUAUCCGUGUGGAUGUGGGAGCGGAUCCCGGUUGGACGGCCCGAUUUGAAGAACCCCCUCAUGGCAAACCCACGGGGUAAUCAUGACGGGUUGCAUGAUGAUGAUCCAUAUCGGCGCCCUACGCUUGCUUACUAUUGGGAACAAGUGACAAUCUACACAGGAAGCUCGCAUGUGCGAUACAAGUGCUAUAUGAACGAGCUGGACACCUUGACUGCUGAGCAGGUACAUUGGUUGCCUUAUGUGCAGGGGCGGAGCCAGAAAAUUUAG